RNAcentral lists this ribosomal RNA (497 nucleotides) under uncultured bacterium. RNAcentral describes it as "partial 16S ribosomal RNA". It matches the Rfam family "Bacterial small subunit ribosomal RNA", at positions 28 to 507 of the family's 1533-position model. The record is from RNAcentral.
GACGAACGCUGGCGGCGUGCCUAAUACAUGCAAGUCGAACGGAAGGGCCAGGAGCUUGUGUUUUUGUUGUUUGGCGCGGGGGGGGGUGUAACGUGUGGAAAAUCCCCCUAUAUGUGUGGGAAAAUCUGGGGAAACCGGCGCCUAUAGCGGAGAAUAUUUUGGACCGCGUUGGGGGAAAGAGAAAAACGGGGUUUGGGUCUCUUAUCGCUGGGUCCGCGCUGGAUUUGGUAGUUGGGAAGGUAACGGGUUAUCAAGGGAAAGAGGCCUAGCCGACUGGAGAGGGUGAUCGGCCACACUGGAACGGAGACACGGUCCAGACUCCUACGGGAGGCAGCAGUAGGGAAUCUGCCGCAAUGGGCGAAGGCCUGACGGAGCAACGCCGCGUGAGUGGUGAAGGUCUUCGGAUCGUAAAACUCUGUUAUUAGGGAAGAACAUAUGUGUAAGUAACUGUGCACAUCUUGACGGUACCUAAUCAGAAAGCCACGGCUAACUACGUG